Molecule: long non-coding RNA, 3461 nt
Organism: Scylla paramamosain (green mud crab)
Lineage: Eukaryota; Metazoa; Arthropoda; Malacostraca; Decapoda; Portunidae
Exons: 5
Source: RefSeq, a predicted model, not a curated record
UACGUUGGCGGUUCACACCAGUUCAGAAGUAAGGUAUCUUAAAUUGCACUCGACAAUGUUGUGAAUACUUUAAAAUGCUUGAAGCCAUACUUGAUGCCUUCCAUAACGUGUAAAGUAAGAAGUUAGCCUGUGUUAAAAAGUGGUGAUCCCUGCAGAUUACCAAGGCAUCCAGUCUCCCAGCAAGUGCCAAGAGGCAUUCAUUCAAUGCUCCGCUGACACCAAUUUGCCCAAAGAAUAUUUAUGUGGGAGACUCCUCAGAUUGUGGAGACCCCAGAUUGUGGAGGCUCCUGGGCAGCUGGUCUUUUUGUGGACUCCUAAAUCUGGCACUGAACAAAAUUCUCUCUCUCUCUCUCUCUCUCUCUCUCUCUCUCUCUCUCUCUCUCUCUCUCUCUCUCUCUCUCUCUCUCUCUCUCUCUCUCUCUCUCUCUCUCUCUCUCUCUCUCUCUCUCUCUCUCUCUCUCUCUCUCUCUCUCUCUCUCUCUCUCUCUCUCUCUCUCUCUCUCUCUCUCUCUCUCUCUCUCUCUCUCUCCUGAACUCUCAACCACUGGAUGGUAUAUCAGUUCACACAGCAAGAAGCCAAGGACCCACCGAGGCUGUCACUUGGAAGAGGUCAUUGUUGUUGCAUCCAGCAUCCCAGCCUGACUGCCUAGACAGGUCCCGCAGGUUGCUGAAUGGCAGAGGUGCAGGCUGCUCCACAGCAAGAUGUGAGACCAGUGUGGCAGAGUAUGAUGUGUACACAAUGAGGGACACACUGUAGCCAACCCAGUAGAUUACCCGUGCUGCAGUGCUGAUUGGGUCCUCACCUUGUUGUAGGAGAGCUGACAACAUGUACCAGCCAGCAGCAACUCCCAUGCUAACAGGCUUCUCCCCCGUGGGUAUGUAGCACCUCUGGAGUCGCUCGAUGAAGAAGAGGAUGCUGGCGAGGCCUGUCGUGUUAGCCGGGAUGCGCCGGUACAGAGCUGUGUCCGUUGGGGUUGUGUAGGCAAGCAUCUUCUUGGCAAGGUCCUCGUAGGUGGCCGCAAACAGUUUACGGCUGUGGGAUGAGAACUUGUCUUGUGAAUGUGACGUUGGGAGGAGGGAAGCACAGGGGAGGAGGAGGACGAGGAGGAAGAGAGUGAAGAGUCACAAGAGGAGGAGGAAGGUGGAAAGAAAGAGGAAGGAGAGGAGGAGGAGGAGGAGGAGGAGGAGGAAGAUGGAGAAGGAAAGGAGAAAGAUAAGAAGGAAGGCAAUGUAGAAUGGAGGCGUCCUUGGUUUAUGUUCAGUAAAGCCCCGUAUUCUUGUCAUGGCAAUGUAGAAUGGAGGCGUCCUUGGUUUAUGUUCAGUAAAGCCCUGUAUUCUUGUCAUGGCAAUGUAGAAUGGAGACGUCAUUGGUCACAUACUGUUCUAAUGUAAUCUAAUGUAAUCUAAUGGAAUCAUGAAGGUGUAAAAAUGCAGGAUAUGGACAUCAUCAGCUUUUGUCAUUAAGGGUGGUAAAGUGAAAGAUUUGUUAAUCACUUUGGUCUUUAGUUGAUGCUUCUGGUGAGGCUUUCCUGUUUAAACUUGGCAUAAUAUAUAUAAAAUGAUGUGGCAUGUUAAACAAGUUAACUUACUGCCUUCUUGUGUCUUUCACAGAUAGAAAUCAAAAACAUCACAAGACAGAAUAGUGAGCUGCAUGCACUUAUCACAGAGUAUAAAGUCACUCCCUCAGAGGAAAAAGACAAGGAUGGCAUGUCUUCAUGUGUGUGUGUGUGUGUGUGUGUGUGUGUGUGUGUGUGUGUGUGUGCACUUUGGAAAGCCUCCCUCCAAGGAGAAUGUCAGUUUGAUAUACAAAUAUAUAUUCAUGUGGAUGGUAGCUCACAUUUAGCUUCUAUUUGUAUAUCAAACUGACAUUCUCCUUGGAGGGAGGCUUUCCAAAGUGCACACACACACACACACACACACACACACACACACACACACACACACACACACACACACACACACACACACACACACACACACACACACACACACACAUCUCUGCAUCAGGACCCUCAACAGCCAGACUGAUAAACAAUUACUUCACCCAAGAUGAUCAGCUGAUAGGAUUAGCUGUGGAUGAGCCUCCUGUGGUGACUAGGAGUACAAAAGCCAUGCAGCUAAUUUUGGGAGCUGCCAGUCAUCAUGGUCCUGGUGUCUGAGGUGCUGCUUUUGCAUUUUCCCAGUCAUGGGAUGACCUUGCCAGCCUCCAUCAUGAAUGAGAGGAAAUGAAGCAAAACCACUCUGCAGGAUUUGAUAUCAAAGCUGGUGCAGGAAAAGGAAGCAGAUCAUGACCUUCAGCAGCUCGAGAAGAUAAGCAGCGUCCUUAUAUAUAUGUUAUAUAAAUAUGUUCCUUUCACUAUAAUAUAUUAUAUGUAUUAAAAAACUGCAUGGAAUACUACUGUAUUCCAUGCACUUUGUAUUCCAUGUAUUCCAGCCACUCAGUCUCCUACUGAGUGGCUUGGGGUUUUCCAAAAGUGAGGGUUGGUGUUCUAUACCAUACCAUGUGCCCUGUUUGUAUUCCUUCUCUAUCCUCUGUAUUAUAUUCUAUGUAAAGAUGGUGCUGGGGUGGGAUCUACUUCUUAUUCCCUAAAAGUGAUGAGGAGUGACACUGGGCAGCAUUAAUUUGCUCCUUAGAGAUGGCUGGGUUCCUGUGGAUGAGUGGGCCAUGCUGUGCUUUGUCAAGGAUGGUGUUUGGUAUUGUGAUGACUCUUGCCACAAUCAAGUGUCUCCAACAGAGUAGUGGAGUACCUAUGUAUGGUGUUGACCCAAGCUGUCCAGGUCUCAUCCAAUGCCUUAAUAUGAUUUAGAUGAUCAAAAUGGUUUAACUCACCAUUUAAUCAGCUGACUGAUUUGAAUGGAGAAGUAUGUAAUGUGUUGUAGCCUAACCAUCCCUGCCAGCAUGGUCAGACUCUUGGUAGUAACCUGAAAUGCUCCUAGGUAGUGAGUAUCAUUGCACAUAAUGAUCUUUACUUUGUCAGUAAUUCAAUGAUAUUGAAUAUUACUCUACUGGAUUUUGCUCAGCACUGCUUGGUAACUUUUGGCCAUAAUCCCAGGUCUGGAAUGAUAUGAAGCCAUGUUUUUACAUUCCAUAUGAGACAGGCAAGCACUAUGCUUUGCCUGACUGAUACCUGUACUUUGCAUUUAUGACCCCAGGUAGUUCAUCACUCUCUCUCUCUCUCUCUCUCUCUCUCUCUCUCUCUCUCUCUCUCUCUCUCUCAUCUCUCUCUCUCUCUCUCUCUCUCUCUCUCUCUCUCUCUCUCUCUCUCUCUCUCUCUCUCUCUCUCUCUCUCUCUCUCUCUCUCUCUCUCUCUCUCUCUCUCUCUCUGUUUGGAAUUAUACUGUAUAUUAGGAAAUAUCAUUAAAGAGUGUGUGUGUAAAAAGUGUUUGCAUUAUUGUGCAUUUGAUGUUGGUUUCAUGAUUUAUAAAGAUUGCUAUUUUUAAUAAAGUUAUUGAAAUUGUUA